RNAcentral lists this long non-coding RNA (1777 nucleotides) under Sus scrofa (pig). RNAcentral describes it as "lncRNA (ENSSSCG00055016687.1)". The record is from RNAcentral. Lineage: Eukaryota; Metazoa; Chordata; Mammalia; Artiodactyla; Suidae.
UUUUUUUUUUUUUUCUUUUUUCUUUUUUGGUGCCUAUGAUUGAAUGUAUUGUGCUUUUUUUAAAAAAAACUAAGGUGUAAUUGACAUACAUUAGUUUCAGUUGUAAACAUAAGGAUUCAACAACAUCUGUUUAAACUGCAAAAUGAUCACAGUAAGUCUAGUUAAUAUCCGUCACUAUAUAUGGUUAUAGAUUUUUUUUCUUGUGAUGAGAACUUCUAAGAUCUACCCUCUUAGCAAUUUUCAAAUAUGCAACACAAGAUUAUUAGCUAUAGUCACCAUGCAGCACAUUAUAUCCCAUGGCAUUUUAUAACUGGAGAUUUGUACCUUGUGACUCCCUUCUGACCCACUUCUCCUACCCAACACCCCACCUCCAGCCUCUGGAAACCACUGAUCUGUUUGUUCUCUAUCCAUGAGCUUGGAUUUUGUUCUUGUUUUAGAUUCCAUACAUGAGAUCACAUGGUACCUGCCUUUCUCUGUCUGACCUUUUUCUUUUUAGGGCUACACUUGCGGCAUGUAGACAUUCCCAGGCUUCAGGUGGAAUCCAAACUACAGCUGCAGACAUAUGCCAUAGCCACGUGACACUGGAUCCAAGCUGCAUCUGUGAUCUACGCCACAGCUGGCAGCAACGCCAGAUCCUUAACCCACUGAGUGAGGCACCUUGAGAAUGUCUUUGUAAGUCUGGCCUAAGACGAUAACUCCUUUGGCUUGAAAAUUUCUGAAGUCAGUCUCUAGUGGAUCAGAUAAAGAUAUACUAGAGAUAAAUAAAUGUUCCAAGUUUUUAAAAAUCACAUCCACAAAGUAAGAUUCAGCCCAACCGCAAACAUGAUGCACAUGCUGCAGGCAAGGGGUUCUGAUCAAUUCAGAUGUCUGAUUCCUGAGGGCACAUGGGUGCCUGAAAAGCUUCUGAACUAAAUGAGACCCUCUGUCUUUCUUCACACCCAUCUGUCUGUAUGUUGUGUCAUAAAGAUGACUCUAGGGAGUGUGACAAGCCAUGCAGACCCCCAAACUGAAGUCUUAGUAUUUCCCCAGAGGAAGAUGCUACAGUGGCCUUCACCUUCCUUUUAAAGUCAGGGUUUGGAGAGGAUCCUGGCCUUGACCUUCCUCCUGAAGGCAGGGUUUGGAGUGGAUCCUGGCCACAACACGCGAGGUACCCGGCUGGGCGGUGACUAAUCCACUUCCCAGAGGACUCUGGUGUGGGAGCUCCGGGUGGGGGGGAAGUGAAUGGCAUGAAUCAGGGAUCAAGAGCAGAAAAUACAACGUGAUUCAUAUUAACUAAAGGAAAAGGUUGAGAGAGAAAAAACAACUAGAAAUGAAAACCACACGCACACUUACACAUCAGCAAAUGCCACACUGAGCAUGUCACUGGAACUUCUGCUUUUUAGAGUCCAAAGAAGAAAAAAAAGGCAGAUUUUCAAAACAAAGCCUAAUAAAACCAGUUGUAGCCAAAUUGAAUGAGCAUAAAGCACAAUGCAGCUACAUAAAAAAGAAACAAAUUGCUUUUCAUAAAGUUGGUAUUUGUUACAAGAAAAAAGGAGCCAACAUAGUAUUUCUCACCCAAUCUCAAAUGUCCUUUAUAUCCCUUUGUUAAUUUUUGUUGAAUACUAUCAGACAUUAAAAUGUUAAAGCUUUUAGAAGUUCUUUUUGUGGCUCAGUGGUAAUGAACCUGACCAGUAUCCAUGAGGACGGGGGUUCAAUCCCUGGCCUCGCUCGCUCAGUGGGUUAAGGAUCUGGCGUUGCUGUGAGCCGUGAUGUAGGUUGAAGAUGCGGCUUGGAUCCC